Molecule: ribosomal RNA, 319 nt
Filed under: uncultured bacterium
Lineage: Bacteria
Description: bacterial SSU rRNA
Rfam family: Bacterial small subunit ribosomal RNA
Source: RNAcentral
AGCGAAUAGAUACCCAGGUAGUCCACGCCGUAAACGAUGGAUGCUAGCUGUUAUCAGUAUCGACCCUGGUAGUAGCGAAGCUAACGCGUUAAGCAUCCCGCCUGGGGAGUACGGUCGCAAGAUUAAAACUCAAAGGAAUUGACGGGGACCCGCACAAGCGGUGGAGCGUGUUGUUUAAUUCGACGCUAAGCGAAGAACCUUACCAAGGUUUGACAUCUCGGGAAAGUCUCCGAAAGGAGACCGUGCCUUCGGGAACCCGAUGACAGGUGUUGCAUGGCCGUCGUCAGCUCGUGUCGUGAGAUGUUUGGUUAAGUCCAUC